Molecule: ribosomal RNA, 253 nt
Filed under: uncultured bacterium
Lineage: Bacteria
Description: partial 16S ribosomal RNA
Rfam family: Bacterial small subunit ribosomal RNA
Source: RNAcentral
GACGUAGGGGGCGAGCGUUGUCCGGAAUUACUGGGCGUAAAGAGCACGUAGGCGGGAAUUUAAGUCAGAUGUGAAAGACCGGGGCUCAACCCCGGGGUGGCAUUUGAAACUGAAUUUCUUGAGGGCAGGAGAGGAAAGCAGAAUUCCUGGUGUAGCGGUGAAAUGCGUAGAAAUCAGGAGGAAUACCAGUGGCGAAGGCGGCUUUCUGGACUGUCCCUGACGCUGAGGUGCGAAAGCGUGGGUAGCAAACAGG